UACGUAUGAGGCGAGAGUUGUUAGGAAUUAUUGGGCGUAAAGGGCGUGUAGGCGGGGGAUUAAGUUAGGUGUGAAAGCCAGGGGCUCAACCCUUGCAUUGCAUCUAAUACUGGUUCUCUUGAGUUCGGGAGAGGAGAGCGGAAUUCCCGGUGUAGCGGUGAAAUGCGUAGAUAUCGGGAAGAACACCAGUGGCAAAGGCGGCUCUCUGGCCUAGAACUGACGCUAAGGCGCGAAAGCUUGGGGAGCGAACGGG
This 253-nucleotide ribosomal RNA is filed under the name uncultured bacterium. RNAcentral's name for it is "partial 16S ribosomal RNA". It matches the Rfam family "Bacterial small subunit ribosomal RNA", at positions 524 to 776 of the family's 1533-position model. The record is from RNAcentral.